RNAcentral lists this transfer RNA (71 nucleotides) under Candidatus Prevotella equi. RNAcentral's name for it is "tRNA-Gln". It matches the Rfam family "tRNA". From Rfam's summary of the family: Transfer RNA (tRNA) molecules are approximately 80 nucleotides in length. Lineage: Bacteria; Pseudomonadati; Bacteroidota; Bacteroidia; Bacteroidales; Prevotellaceae. The record is from RNAcentral.
GGAAGUAUGGUGUAAUGGUAGCACAACAGAUUUUGGUUCUGUUUGUCGUGGUUCGAAUCCACGUACUUCUA